Molecule: ribosomal RNA, 468 nt
Filed under: uncultured bacterium
Lineage: Bacteria
Description: partial 16S ribosomal RNA
Rfam family: Bacterial small subunit ribosomal RNA
Source: RNAcentral
GAUGAACGCUGGCGGCGUGCUUAACACAUGCCAGUCGAACGGACAGGCCCUGCUUUUGUGGGGUGCUCGAGUGGCGAACGGGUGAGUAACACGCGAGUAACCUGCCCUUGACUUUGGGAUAACUUCAGGAAACUGGGGAUCAUACCGGAUAGGAGCUACUGCUGCAUGGUGGGGGUUGGAAAGUUUCGGCGGUUGGGGAUGGACUAGAGGCUUAUCGGCUUGUUUGUGGAGUAGUGGCUUUACAAGGCUUUGACGGGUAGGCGGCCUGAGAGGGUGACCGGCCACAUGGGGACUGAGAGACGGCCCAGACGCCUACGGGACGCAGCGGUGGGGAAUAUUGCACAGUGGGCGGAAGCCAGAUGCAGCAACGCCGCGUGCGGGAUGACGGCCUACGGGGUGUAAACCGCUUUCUCCUUUGACAAAGCGUGAGUGACGGUAAUUAGUAAAGAAGCACCGGCUAACUACGUG